UUACGACCAGGGCUACACACGUGCUACAAUGGCAUAUACAAAGAGAAGCGACCUCGCGAGAGCAAGCGGACCUCAUAAAGUAUGUCGUAGUCCGGAUUGGAGUCUGCAACUCGACUCCAUGAAGUCGGAAUCGCUAGUAAUCGUAGAUCAGAAUGCUACGGUGAAUACGUUCCCGGGCCUUGUACACACCGCCCGUCACACCAUGGGAGUGGGUUGCAAAAGAAGUAGGUAGCUUAACCUUCGGGAGGGCGCUUACCACUUUGUGAUUCAUGACUGGGGUGAAGUCGUAACAAGGUAACCGUAGGGGAACCUGCGGUUGGAUCCACCUCAUAAA
RNAcentral lists this ribosomal RNA (334 nucleotides) under Klebsiella pneumoniae. RNAcentral describes it as "bacterial SSU rRNA". It matches the Rfam family "Bacterial small subunit ribosomal RNA", at positions 1202 to 1533 of the family's 1533-position model. Lineage: Bacteria; Pseudomonadati; Pseudomonadota; Gammaproteobacteria; Enterobacterales; Enterobacteriaceae. The record is from RNAcentral.